CCUACGGGUGGCAGCAGUAAGGAAUAUUGGUCAAUGGGGGCAACCCUGAACCAGCCAUGCCGCGUGCAGGAAGACGGCCUACGGGUUGUAAACUGCUUUUAUACCGGAAUAGGUACGGUAUGAAUAAGGAUCGGCUAACUCCGUGCCAGCAGCCGCGGUAAUACGGAGGAUCCGAGCGUUAUCCGGAUUUAUUGGGUUUAAAGGGUGCGUAGGCGGCCCGUUAAGUCAGGGGUGAAAGACGGUGGCUCAACCAUCGCAGUGCCCUUGAUACUGGCGGGCUUGAAUGGACUAGAGGUAGGCGGAAUGUGACAAGUAGCGGUGAAAUGCAUAGAUAUGUCACAGAACACCGAUUGCGAAGGCAGCUUACCAUGGCCAUUGACGCUGAGGCACGAAAGCGUGGGGAUCGAACAGGAUUAGAUACCCUUGUAGUC
RNAcentral lists this ribosomal RNA (431 nucleotides) under uncultured bacterium. RNAcentral describes it as "partial 16S ribosomal RNA". It matches the Rfam family "Bacterial small subunit ribosomal RNA", at positions 338 to 795 of the family's 1533-position model. The record is from RNAcentral.